RNAcentral lists this ribosomal RNA (550 nucleotides) under uncultured bacterium. RNAcentral's name for it is "bacterial SSU rRNA". It matches the Rfam family "Bacterial small subunit ribosomal RNA", at positions 337 to 905 of the family's 1533-position model. The record is from RNAcentral.
UCCUACGGGAGGCAGCAGUGGGGAAUCUUAGACAAUGGGCGCAAGCCUGAUCUAGCCAUGCCGCGUGUGUGAUGAAGGCCUUAGGGUCGUAAAGCNCUUUCGCCAGGGAUGAUAAUGACAGUACCUGGUAAAGAAACCCCGGCUAACUCCGUGCCAGCAGCCGCGGUAAUACGGAGGGGGUUAGCGUUGUUCGGAAUUACUGGGCGUAAAGCGUACGUAGGCGGAUCAGAAAGUAGGGGGUGAAAUCCCAGGGCUCAACCCUGGAACUGCCUCCUAAACUCCUGGUCUUGAGUUCGAGAGAGGUGAGUGGAAUUCCAAGUGUAGAGGUGAAAUUCGUAGAUAUUUGGAGGAACACCAGUGGCGAAGGCGGCUCACUGGCUCGAUACUGACGCUGAGGUACGAAAGUGUGGGGAGCAAACAGGAUUAGAUACCCUGGUAGUCCACACCGUAAACGAUGAAUGCCAGUCGUCGGGCAGUAUACUGUUCGGUGACACACCUAACGGAUUAAGCAUUCCGCCUGGGGAGUACGGUCGCAAGAUUAAAACUCNNA